Pipra filicauda (Wire-tailed manakin) is the source of this 1075-nucleotide long non-coding RNA. RefSeq lists it as uncharacterized. The transcript has 9 exons. The record is from RefSeq and is a predicted model, not a curated record. NCBI's taxonomy places the organism in Eukaryota, Metazoa, Chordata, Aves, Passeriformes, Pipridae.
CCUUGUGAAAGCACUCAGAUGCCAUCCUGAUAACAGCCCGAGAAAAGCUCACAAGAAAAUCAGCAAUUGUGUCUUCCAAGCAGAUAUAAGUCGUGCAUGUGCAAAAGGAUACCUGUGCCUAAAAAGAAACAAAAUCUGAAUUCCAAAGUGGAUGUUGUUCAAUGAAAUGUGCAGGAUCUUAAAUCUUGGCUCUGCUGAAGAGAUGCUUCUUGGUGCCUGCAACAGGAUUCUGGAGUAUCUUCUCAGUGGAAAGGAACAUGGAGUUCCCAAUUCCCUCACAUGGUGUCUGAUGCAAGUAAAGGAGUUUGCAGAUCUGAAGAUCUUUUUGAGGCACAGAGCCUCUGCCUGCCAGCUACAGCCACAGCUGGCAGGGAAAUGAGGGCACAGAAAACAGGAGAUUUUUUCCUAAGUGGACCUGGAUGCACAGUCCAUCCAUUUCAGAACCUCAGGGCCAUGGGACAGUGGCUGUGACAUCUCCAGUCUGCCCUGGCUGCUCAGACACCAACAUCAGCCAAAAGGGUCUCUCGAGGAAACGGGACAAGGAAACUGGUUUUACUGUUGUGAUGUUCCUGUGGUGCUGUUCUCCCUCUGGGCAGUGAUGCACAGCAGGGACUUAUCCAGAUGAUCUGAGGAGGAGGCACCUCACCAGUGUAAGACCUUCUUCACCCUGUUUUGGUCCAAGUUCCUGAGCUGGUGUCUCUGCACAACGUGUUGCUCAUCAAACACCCCAACUGUCCUCAGUAACAUUGCUGCUGUCAGCCAGCCAGUAACCUCUGCUCUGGCCAUCAAACAUCACCACUAAAAGUUCAAGACAGAUCUCCCCUCUAGUGUCACACAGAUCUGGCCCUUCCUUUCCUGGAGCCUGUCACACAGUGAUGGGACCCGACUGCCUCCUGGGCACCACACGGUUCCCUGCAUUUCAGAAUGUCAGCUGGAUCCUGGAUAGCUGGACACAACUGCUUCCCUGCCCUGAAACUGGAGCAAGAAGAGCCAGGACACCACCCCCAUGCCCUGCUUGUCCUGGCAGAGGGAGAGGAUGCUGUUUGCCUGAACGUUCCCUUCAGUGUGCAGCAGG